Molecule: long non-coding RNA, 212 nt
Filed under: Marmota monax (woodchuck)
Lineage: Eukaryota; Metazoa; Chordata; Mammalia; Rodentia; Sciuridae
Source: RNAcentral
CUGAGGCAGAGCAGAGAUAAGCAGGCUCCUGCAGCAACCCUGUCUUGCUAACUUGACACUUGCCAGACCUGGCCAGCAUGGUUGUCCUGAAUCCAAUGGCUUUGGGAAUUUAUCUUCAGCUUUUCUUCCGCUCGAUCUUGUCUCAGCCGACUUUCAUCAAUAGCGUCCUCCCGAUCUCAGCAGGUAAAUGAUGCCCAGCAUUCUCCUCUGGG